RNAcentral lists this ribosomal RNA (720 nucleotides) under Bulla sp. TLT-2006. Its description in RNAcentral is "small subunit ribosomal RNA". The record is from RNAcentral. Lineage: Eukaryota; Metazoa; Mollusca; Gastropoda; Cephalaspidea; Bullidae.
UGAACUUUGUUAUGAUUAAUCUCUGGAUGUCUAAUAAUUCUCGCAUGGUAGUAAUUCGAAAAUAAACCCAGCAGAAAACAUUAAACCCUGUAUGAAAAUAUAAUUUAGUUAUUCAGAAUUCUUUUUGACUAAGAAGGUGCCAGCAGUCGCGGUCAGACCUUAAAAAAUAUCCGGAAAACUUAAGUUAGUUAAUAUAGAAUAGAUGCGGGAUGUUCUGUGAAAUUCUACUCUAACCAAGUACCAAUACUAUAUUUUAUAGCACAGAUAGGACAGAACACAAGACUAGGAUUAGAUACCCUAUUAUUAGUCCCUAAACCCUAUAACUUAAGCACUACGGUUAACAAAACUAAAACUUAAAUAACAUGGCGGCCAGUUUAAUUUUCAGAGGAACUUACCAGAUAAAUGAUAAUCCGCAAGAUACUCAACUUUAGUUAACUAGCUUAUAUAUCGCCGUCGAGUUCCCUCUUAGGGAGGCAACGCAGAUCUAGUAAGCUAGCAUAAGUCAGGUCAAGACAUAGCCUAUGCUAAAGCCUUAAGGUGAGUUACAAUAAGAGACUCUUUCAGAAAAAGAUCGAAAAUUCUUCUUAAGAUGGAUUUGAAAGUAAUCAUUCAAACUAAAUACAAGUUGAAUAACUUUAAACUUGUGUACAAAUCGCCCGUCACUCUCAAUGUUAACAUGAGAUAAGUCGUAACAUAGUAGGGGUACCGGAAGGUGUCCCU